This 61-nucleotide transfer RNA is filed under the name Amblyomma americanum (Lone Star tick). RNAcentral describes it as "tRNA-Gly". The record is from RNAcentral. Lineage: Eukaryota; Metazoa; Arthropoda; Arachnida; Ixodida; Ixodidae.
GUUUAAUUAGUAUAAAAAGUACAAUUAAUUUCCAAUUAAUAAGUUUAGAAUAAAUUAAACA